UUCCAUAAUUCUUGAACUUUUGCUUUCUUGGUAAUAAGAGAAGCAGGCAGUGAUGAUUACCACCGUCGCUAAGACGAUACCGAGGUUGAACCUUACAUUGUCACCGAGAACUUCGGGAUUUUUGCUGUAUUCGAUUGCAUACGCGAUAAAGCAGAGAAUAGCACCCGACAACAAGAGCAAUGAGAAACCACCGAAAAGCUGUUUGCAAAACUUAACCCAUUCGGGUGUAGUUUUGGGGGGAGUAAGGCAAUUGGGCCCGUCGCGUUCCAAGUUGGCCUUGGCUUGUUGUGACGACAAACCCUAGGCGCAAAGAAAACUAGGAUUAUGAAAGCUGCGCUUACAGUCUCCGGAUUGACAUUGUGUCGUAUGUAAAGAUCAGCGAUUGGAAUUAUGUGAUCGUCAAUGUCCAGUUCUUGUUUCAAGUUGUCGACAUCGUUUGUGUUCGAUGCCUUAGUGUAACGAACACAGAUAAAGAGAUUACCACGAUAACACGUACGGUAUACAAAUUAUUAUCAUUUUUUUUUUGCUCUAAUUAGCACUUACGUUUUUGACCAUUUUGAUGGUAAAACAACGUUUCGUUCUUUGCAAAGUGAAAACAAAUCAACACCUGGCUGCUGGUCCUACAGGUAAACUGGCGUCUUACUGAAGACUGCAAACUUGCAGAAUCUAAUGUAAACAGGUAAUUUAAUAAGAUUUAGUAACAUUCUGGCUUCAAACAGAAAAACAACAGAUUACAGAAUGG
This is a long non-coding RNA of Daphnia carinata, 742 nucleotides long. RefSeq lists it as uncharacterized. Lineage: Eukaryota; Metazoa; Arthropoda; Branchiopoda; Diplostraca; Daphniidae. The transcript is spliced from 3 exons. The record is from RefSeq and is a predicted model, not a curated record.